CCUACGGGUGGCAGCAGUGGGGAAUAAUGCACAAUGGGGGAAACCCUGAUGCAGCGACGCCGCGUGAGUGAAGAAGUAAUUCGGGAUGUAAAGCUCUAUCAGCAGGGAAGAAAAUGACGGUACCUGACUAAGAAGCCCCGGCGAACGACGUGCCAGCAGCCGCGGUAAUACGUAGGGGGCAAGCGUUAUCCGGAUUUACUGGGUGGAAAGGGAGCGGAGGCGGCGGGGCAAGCAAGGUGUGAAAGCCGGGGGCUCAACCCCGGGACUGCAUUUGGAACUGUUCGGCUGGAGUGCAGGAGAGGCAGGCGGAAUUCCUGGUGUAGCGGUGAAAUGCGUAGAUAUUAGGAGGAACCCCAGUGGCGAAGGCGGCUUGCUGGACGGUAACUGACGUUGAGGCUCGAAAGCGUGGGGAGCAAACAGGAUUAGAUACCCCUGUAGUC
This 440-nucleotide ribosomal RNA is filed under the name uncultured bacterium. RNAcentral describes it as "partial 16S ribosomal RNA". It matches the Rfam family "Bacterial small subunit ribosomal RNA", at positions 338 to 795 of the family's 1533-position model. The record is from RNAcentral.